CCUAAUACAUGCAAGUCGAGCGAACAGAGAAGGAGCUUGCUCCUUUGACGUUAGCGGCGGACGGGUGAGUAACACGUGGGCAACCUACCUUAUAGUUUGGGAUAACUCCGGGAAACCGGGGCUAAUACCGAAUAAUCUGUUUCACCUCAUGGUGAAAUAUUGAAAGACGGUUUCGGCUGUCGCUAUAGGAUGGGCCCGCGGCGCAUUAGCUAGUUGGUGAGGUAACGGCUCACCAAGGCGACGAUGCGUAGCCGACCUGAGAGGGUGAUCGGCCACACUGGGACUGAGACACGGCCCAGACUCCUACGGGAGGCAGCAGUAGGGAAUCUUCCACAAUGGGCGAAAGCCUGAUGGAGCAACGCCGCGUGAGUGAAGAAGGAUUUCGGUUCGUAAAACUCUGUUGUAAGGGAAGAACAAGUACAGUAGUAACUGGCUGUACCUUGACGGUACCUUAUUAGAAAGCCACGGCUAACUACGUGCCAGCA
RNAcentral lists this ribosomal RNA (485 nucleotides) under uncultured bacterium. RNAcentral's name for it is "bacterial SSU rRNA". It matches the Rfam family "Bacterial small subunit ribosomal RNA", at positions 47 to 513 of the family's 1533-position model. The record is from RNAcentral.